Molecule: transfer RNA, 68 nt
Filed under: Marmota monax (woodchuck)
Lineage: Eukaryota; Metazoa; Chordata; Mammalia; Rodentia; Sciuridae
Description: tRNA.Ala
Rfam family: tRNA (bases 5-65)
About the family: Transfer RNA (tRNA) molecules are approximately 80 nucleotides in length. Their secondary structure includes four short double-helical elements and three loops (D, anti-codon, and T loops).
Source: RNAcentral
GGAUUGUGGCUCAGUGGUAGAGCGCUUGCCUUGCAUGUGUGAGGCACUGGGUUUGAUCCUCAGCACCA